RNAcentral lists this small nuclear RNA (198 nucleotides) under Marmota marmota marmota (Alpine marmot). RNAcentral's name for it is "7SK RNA (ENSMMMG00000004621.1)". It matches the Rfam family "7SK RNA". Rfam says of the family: 7SK was discovered as an abundant small nuclear RNA in the mid-70s but a possible function has only recently been suggested. Two independent studies have found that 7SK RNA binds the CDK9/cyclin T complex (known as elongation factor P-TEFb). P-TEFb activates transcription by phosphorylating the C-terminal domain of RNA polymerase II. The record is from RNAcentral. Lineage: Eukaryota; Metazoa; Chordata; Mammalia; Rodentia; Sciuridae.
AUGAGGGUGAUUCAGCUGCAAAAUCUGUCCCCCCAUUAAGACAACCUUCCCUGAUAGAGGAGGACCAUUCUUUGAUCAAGUGUAUACAAGUAGCUGCACUUUCCUGCUAGAACCUCCAAACAAGCUCUCAAGGCCCAAAGUGGUUGCACCAAUUUGCAGUUCCACCAGCAAUGUAUGAGCAUACUUUUUUUUUUCCAU